CUGUGAAAGUUGGCUAACGCCGCCAAAGAUAUUCUUGUUUUCGGAUUUCAUGGUGCAUGGAAGAAUGGAGACCAUCAUUUGUUUAAAAUUAGAGUUUGUACUACUGCUUGUUGAGCUUCCUCGGGACAUAUUUUCUGCCACGUAAGCAUUCCAUGCUUUUACCAACAUUGGAACUACGUCACCAUAUUCCCCGGAUGAAACUUCGAUAAC
Molecule: non-coding RNA, 210 nt
Organism: Paramuricea clavata
Lineage: Eukaryota; Metazoa; Cnidaria; Anthozoa; Malacalcyonacea; Plexauridae
Source: the annotation of a GenBank genome assembly